RNAcentral lists this ribosomal RNA (503 nucleotides) under uncultured bacterium. RNAcentral's name for it is "bacterial SSU rRNA". It matches the Rfam family "Bacterial small subunit ribosomal RNA", at positions 28 to 520 of the family's 1533-position model. The record is from RNAcentral.
GAUGAACGCUAGCGACAGGCUUAACACAUGCAAGUCGAGGGGCAGCAUAAAAGUAGCAAUACUUUGGUGGCGACCGGCGCACGGGUGAGUAACGCGUAUGCAACCUACCUAUCAGAGGGGGAUAACCCGGCGAAAGUCGGACUAAUACCGCAUAAAACAGGGGCACCGCAUGGUGCUAUUUGUUAAAAAUUUAUUGCUGAUAGAUGGGCAUGCGUUCCAUUAGGUAGUUGGAGAGGUAACGGCUCACCAAGCCAACGAUGGAUAGGGGAACUGAGAGGUUGGUCCCCCAACUGGUACUGGAGACACGGACCAGACUCCUACAGGAGGCAGCAGUGAGGAAUAUUGGUCAAUGGGGCGAGAGCCUGAACCAGCCAAGUCGCGUGAAGGAAGAAGGAUCUAUGGUUCGUAAACUUCUUUUGCAGGGGAAUAAAGUGCAGGACGUGUCCUGUUUUGUAUGUACCCUGAGAAUAAGGAUCGGCUAACUCCGUGCCAGCAGCCGACGG